RNAcentral lists this ribosomal RNA (470 nucleotides) under uncultured Actinomyces sp. RNAcentral describes it as "bacterial SSU rRNA". It matches the Rfam family "Bacterial small subunit ribosomal RNA", at positions 28 to 491 of the family's 1533-position model. Lineage: Bacteria; Bacillati; Actinomycetota; Actinomycetes; Actinomycetales; Actinomycetaceae. The record is from RNAcentral.
GACGAACGCUGGCGGCGUGCUUAACACAUGCAAGUCGAACGCUGAAGCUCAGCUUUUGUUGGGUGGAUGAGUGGCGAACGGGUGAGUAACACGUGAGUAACCUGCCCUCUUCUUUGGGAUAACGCCCGGAAACGGGUGCUAAUACUGGAUAUUCACUUGCCUUCGCAUGGGGGUUGGUGGAAAGGGUUUUUUCUGGUGGGGGAUGGGCUCGCGGCCUAUCAGCUUGUUGGUGGGGUGAUGGCCUACCAAGGCUUUGACGGGUAGCCGGCCUGAGAGGGUGACCGGUCACAUUGGGACUGAGAUACGGCCCAGACUCCUACGGGAGGCAGCAGUGGGGGAAUAUUUCACAAUGGGCGAAAGCCUGAUGCAGCGACGCCGCGUGAGGGAUGGAGGCCUCCGGGUUGUAUACCUCUUUCCCUCUUGGUCUACCCACAUAUUUGGGUUGUGGGUGAGCGUAGCGGGUAAUAAGC